RNAcentral lists this ribosomal RNA (1200 nucleotides) under Scleroderma sp. MES346. RNAcentral describes it as "eukaryotic LSU rRNA". The stretch from base 572 to 1200 matches the Rfam family "Eukaryotic large subunit ribosomal RNA", at positions 1 to 628 of the family's 3401-position model. Lineage: Eukaryota; Fungi; Basidiomycota; Agaricomycetes; Boletales; Sclerodermataceae. The record is from RNAcentral.
CAUUAUCGAAAUCAUCGAAAGCGUAGGGGGGGGCGACCCUCUGAAGCUUUCUAGCAUCUCGACACCCGUGUGCACCCGCUUGUAGGUCCUUCGGGAUCUAUGUCUCAUCUCUCGAACUCGCAUGUCUACAGAAUGUAUCCGUCGCUUCGGCGACAGCAGACCUCGUACAACUUUCAGCGAUGGAUCUCUUGGCUCUCGCAUCGAUGAAGAACGCAGCGAAUCGCGAUAAGUAAUGUGAAUUGCAGAUUUUCCGUGAAUCAUCGAAUCUUUGAACGCACCUUGCGCUCCUUGGUAUUCCGAGGAGCAUGCCUGUUUGAGUGUCAUCGAAAUCUCGAACCCCAGACCCUUUGACCCGUCGGAGGGGAUCGGUUCGGACCAUGGGAGUCUGCGGGCGGUUCCCCCUCGUCUUUGGGGAACGUCGGCUCUCCUCAAAAGCAUUAGCCCGUGGGUGCGAGCCUUGCACGGCACGGCCUCUUCCGACGUCAUAAUGAUCGUCGUGGGCCGGAAGUGCUCGGAUCUGGCGCAUCCCGUGCUUCCCAACUUCUGCGGAAGAACCACGCUCAUCGAGGCUUGACCUCAAAUCAGGCAGGACUACCCGCUGAACUUAAGCAUAUCAAUAAGCGGAGGAAAAGAAACUAACGAGGAUUCCCCUAGUAACUGCGAGUGAAGCGGGAAAAGCUCAAAUUUCGAAUCUGGCGGUCCGUGGGCCGUCCGAGUUGUAAUCUAGAGAAGCGUCUUCCGCGCUGGACCGUGUACAAGUCUCCUGGAAGGGAGCAUCGUAGAGGGUGACAAUCCCGUCUCCGACACGGACCGCCAGGGCUAUGUGAUGCGCUCUCGACGAGUCGAGUUGUUUGGGAAUGCAGCUCAAAUCGGGUGGUAAACUCCAUCUAAAGCUAAAUACGGGCGAGAGACCGAUAGCGAACAAGUACCGUGAGGGAAAGAUGAAAAGAACUUUGGAAAGAGAGUUAAACAGUACGUGAAAUCGCUGGAAGGGAAACGCUUGACGUCAGUCGCGUCGUCCGGGGAUCAACCUUGCUUUUCGCUGGGCGUAUUUCCCGGUCGACGGGUCAGCAUCGAUUUCGCCCGUCGUAGAAGGGCGGGAGUGAAUGUGGCACUCUCAGGAGUGUGUUAUAGCCUUCCGCACGGAUGCGACGGUCGGGAUCGAGGAACUCGGCACGGCCCCUCGAGGGUUCGGGGCUU